Molecule: ribosomal RNA, 674 nt
Filed under: Mucor piriformis
Lineage: Eukaryota; Fungi; Mucoromycota; Mucoromycetes; Mucorales; Mucoraceae
Description: eukaryotic LSU rRNA
Rfam family: Eukaryotic large subunit ribosomal RNA
Source: RNAcentral
ACAAUGAUUUCCCUAGUAACGGCGAGUGAAGAGGAAAGAGCUCAAAGUUGGAACCUGUUUGGCUUAGCUAAACCGGAUUGUAAACUGUAGAAGUGUUUUCCAGACACGCCUGGUAAAAAAGUCCUUUGGAACAGGGCAUCAUAGAGGGUGAGAAUCCCGUCUUUGGCCAGAGCUGUUGUCUUUUGUGAUACAUUUUCAAAGAGUCAGGUUGUUUGGGAAUGCAGCCUAAAUUGGGUGGUAAAUCUCACCUAAAGCUAAAUAUUUGCGAGAGACCGAUAGCGAACAAGUACCGUGAGGGAAAGAUGAAAAGAACUUUGAAAAGAGAGUUAAACAGUAUGUGAAAUUGUUAAAAGGGAACCGUUUGGAGCCAGACUGGCUUGAUCGUAAUCAAUCUAAGCUUCGGCUUGGAUGCACUUGCGGUCUUUGCCUGCCAACGACAAUUUUUUUUGGAGGAAAAAACUAGGAGAAAUGUGGCCCCUCGGGGUGUUAUAGUCUCUUAGAAAAUACUCUGAAUUGGAUUGAGGAACGCAGUGAAUGCCUUUAGGCAAGAUUGCUGGGCGCUUUCGCUGAUAGGUGUUAGAAUUUCUGCCUCGGGUGGUGCUAAUAGUUAAAGGAGAAACUCGUUUAGUAUAUUUUUUAUUCGCUUAGGUUGUUGGCUUAAUGACUCUAAUGAC